CGGCGUGCUUAACACAUGCAAGUCGAACGGAAAGGCCCUGCUUUUGUGGGGUGCUCGAGUGGCGAACGGGUGAGUAACACGUGAGUAACCUGCCCUUGACUUUGGGAUAACUUCAGGAAACUGGGGCUAAUACCGGGUAGGAGCUCCUGCUGCAUGGUGGGGGUUGGAAAGUUUCGGCGGUUGGGGAUGGACUCGCGGCUUAUCAGCUUGUUGGUGGGGUAGUGGCUUACCAAGGCUUUGACGGGUAGCCGGCCUGAGAGGGUGACCGGCCACAUUGGGACUGAGAUACGGCCCAGACUCCUACGGGAGGCAGCAGUGGGGAAUAUUGCACAAUGGGCGGAAGCCUGAUGCAGCAACGCCGCGUGCGGGAUGACGGCCUUCGGGUUGUAAACCGCUUUCGCCUGUGACGAAGCGUGAGUGACGGUAAUGGGUAAAGAAGCACCGGCUAACUACGUGCCAGCAGCCGCGGUGAUACGUAGGGUGCGAGCGUUGUCCGGAUUUAUUGGGCGUAAAGGGCUCGUAGGUGGUUGAUCGCGUCGGAAGUGUAAUCUUGGGGCUUAACCCUGAGCGUGCUUUCGAUACGGGUUGACUUGAGGAAGGUAGGGGAGAAUGGAAUUCCUGGUGGAGCGGUGGAAUGCGCAGAUAUCAGGAGGAACACCAGUGGCGAAGGCGGUUCUCUGGGCCUUUCCUGACGCUGAGGAGCGAAAGCGUGGGGAGCGAACAGGCUUAGAUACCCUGGUAGUCCACGCUGUAAACGGUGGGUACUAGGUGUGGGGUCCAUUCCACGGGUUCCGUGCCGUAGCUAACGCUUUAAGUACCCCGCCUGGGGAGUACGGCCGCAAGGCUAAAACUCAAAGGAAUUGACGGGGCCCCGCACAAGCGGCGGAGCAUGCGGAUUAAUUCGAUGCAACGCGUAGAACCUUACCUGGGUUUGACAUGGAUCGGGAGUGCUCAGAGAUGGGUGUGCCUCUUUUGGGGUCGGUUCACAGGUGGUGCAUGGCUGUCGUCAGCUCGUGUCGUGAGAUGUUGGGUUAAGUCCCGCAACGAGCGCAACCCUUGUUCACUGUUGCCAGCACGUUAUGGUGGGGACUCAGUGGAGACCGCCGGGGUCAACUCGGAGGAAGGUGGGGAUGACGUCAAGUCAUCAUGCCCCUUAUGUCCAGGGCUUCACGCAUGCUACAAUGGCUGGUACAGAGAGUGGCGAGCCUGUGAGGGUGAGCGAAUCUCGGAAAGCCGGUCUCAGUUCGGAUUGGGGUCUGCAACUCGACCUCAUGAAGUCGGAGUCGCUAGUAAUCGCAGAUCAGCAACGCUGCGGUGAAUACGUUCCCGGGGCUUGUACACACCGCCCGUCAAGUCAUGAAAGUUGGUAACACCCGAAGCCGGUGGCCUAACCGUUGUGGGGGAGCCGUCGAAGGUGGGACUGGUGAUUAGG
Molecule: ribosomal RNA, 1432 nt
Filed under: uncultured organism
Description: 16S ribosomal RNA
Rfam family: Bacterial small subunit ribosomal RNA
Source: RNAcentral